UACAGAGGUCCCGAGCGUUGUUCGGAUUCAUUGGGCGUAAAGGGUGCGUAGGCGGCGGGCAAGUCUGAUGUGAAAUCCUGGGCUCAACCCUGGAACUGCAUUGGAUACUGCCUUGCUAGAGUACUGGAGAGGAAACUGGAAUUUACGGUGUAGCAGUGAAAUGCGUAGAGAUCGUAAGGAAGACCAGUGCCGAAGGCGAGUUUCUGGACAGUUACUGACGCUGAGGCACGAAGGCCAGGGAGCAAACGGG
Molecule: ribosomal RNA, 250 nt
Filed under: uncultured bacterium
Lineage: Bacteria
Description: partial 16S ribosomal RNA
Rfam family: Bacterial small subunit ribosomal RNA
Source: RNAcentral